This is a long non-coding RNA of Oncorhynchus nerka (sockeye salmon), 3447 nucleotides long. RefSeq lists it as uncharacterized. NCBI's taxonomy places the organism in Eukaryota, Metazoa, Chordata, Actinopteri, Salmoniformes, Salmonidae. The record is from RefSeq and is a predicted model, not a curated record. The transcript is spliced from 6 exons.
UGUAAAUGAGAACUUGUUCUCAACUGGCCUACCUGGUUAAAUAAAGGUGAAAUAAAAAAAUGAAGACCAUGAGUUGGUUGAUGCAGUCAUUUUGAGCGAGGAUGGAAGCCCCUCACGAAAGCAUCAAAGAUCUGAUGACGAGGCAAACAAUCUAAUAGAGAGCAUACUGAAGGAAAAGCCUGGUGGAGAGGUUGUCGUCAAGGAGUACUACAAAACUAAAAGCCUGAUUGACUGCACCAGACGAAAGAUGAUCAAUAUUCUUGUUUCGGCGAUGACAGACUCUCACGGGAACAAUAUUACGACCCUAAUAUUAAAGGGUACCUCUCGUAUAGAAUGAAAACCGUUCAGAGGUAUUUGGCUUCAUCUGAGAAACGGCCCACUCAACUAUACUAUGGAGGGCCAGCUGCUGAGAGGGAGUCCAGUUCAUCCACUUUGGCUACCCUGAGUGAAGACCGGUGCAGAGAUGCCAUUCCUCUUAUGAAGCAUUGUUCUGAUGAAGAAACAGUCAAACAGAAGAUGAGAUUGACCUUUGAGUACAGGAAGAAGAUGACCCACGACCCGAGUAAAUGCUCCACCAUCCUAACCGAAUUUCCACGCUUUCUGGAUGUGAAGGGCUUGAUUGAACAGUGUUUUGUGCUGCUGUUUGAAGAGGGAACAUCACGUUUUUGGAGAGGUGACCAACUAUAUUCAAGCAAAAGAUCAUCAUGAUAAGCAAGUCCACUCAGGGAGCUGAACUCCAGGAGCUGAUCCAGAUGGCAGAUUCUGCAGUUAAUGAGGGAGCUGACAUGAAUGCUGACGGAUGGGACGAUAACUUUUCCUUCAUCCUUCUCCUGCUCCAUUUGAUUCCUCCUUCAUCACAAGGCCGCAAAAGACCAGGCAAGAUGUCUGCAUCCCAAGCUGAACAGCAUCUUGGGAUAUUGCAAAAGUAUCCAAGAGCACCUUGAUGCGAUUGACCAGAGCCGCCAACCAUAUCUUCUUGCUGUCGGCACCAGGAAGAGCAGCAUCCAUACAUACUUCAUCAUCCUGGACAAGCAAACCUUGCCGUGCAAGUCAAUGAGCUCUCUUGGUGCCUUCAAUGACCUUUUCAUGGUACUGCUUAAAAUACAAUUCUGCGCAACAUGUACACCUUCAUACAGACAACUGUGUACAACAUAGACAUUGGGAAGGUUAAGGAGGCUCCAAGGGUUGCUGAGCUCAGAGCUAGACUCCUGCUCUAAUGCUGAUUAAAUUAUGAUGAUAUGUUUUGUUUGCCAUGCUAGUCAUGGAAGUACCAACUUGCUUGUGAAGCAUCUCAAGUUGAUGCAUGGAAUGUGCCCUGGUAGAACUCUUAGACUAAAAUGUGGUCAAGUAGAUUUGUGUAUUUGGUACAUUUUCAGGCUUUAAGGAAGCAUUUAAACUGGGCACAUUCCGGAGACUGACAAAUUUUGUUAAACGCUAACUUGGAUGCUAAUACAGCAGUUGAUAUCAGCCAAGUAAUCCGAAUUCUAGUUGCAACCAUGUUGUACCAAUAUCUAACAAGAACACACUUGAUAUGUGUGAGUCUGCUAUUGCACAACUCCAGGCUGCAGGUGUAGGUCAGACGACUGUAAAUAGUUGUGUAUCUUCCAUGGAAGAAGCGGUUCAAGAGAUACAGGGUCAAGUUAAAACAACCACUCUUACAUGUAUAUCUUCAAAAGACACAAACUAUCAGAAAAAUUCAACAUUCUUUUCAGAAUAUUGAAAAUCCUUUCACAUUGUUGAAUUCGGUAUCAUAACAAAGUGCUUAUAUCAUAAAAUUAAGAACAGUUCAACCAGUUGAGAAAGUCAUUGGUGUUAGAUUUGACAAUAGAAUAAACAAAACUACUGGAACUUAUGAUCAAAUAGUCAGAACUGAUACAUUGUCUUACAUUCUAAUUCUCCAGGCAUUGCAGUCAAUUUUGAAGAACCCAAACACAAGUGACAUGUUUAACUCAGGGCACAAUUUUAAAGAUGGGAGUUUACUUUGAUUUGUAAGCUGGACUAUACAGUGGGGCAAAAAAGUAUUUAGUCAGCCACCAAUUGUGCAAGUUCUCCCACUUAAAAAGAUGAGAGGCCUGUAAUUUUCAUCAUAGGUACACUUCAACUAUGACAGACAAAAUGAGAAAAAGAAAUCCAGAAAAUGUUAAUACAUUUAUUUUGCCCCACUGUAUAUGAAGAGACAUCUUCUCUUUUCUAAAAAGAGAAAUGCAUAGCAAAUUCAACUGUUUUAUGAUGGGGUGUCAGGUAGCCUAGUGGUUAGAGCUUUGGGCCAGUAACCAAAUGUUUGCUAGAUUGAAUCCCUGAGCUGACAUUCUUGAGCCAAUAGUAAGCCAUUUGAAAGUGCUUGAGACAGAGGGUAUUGAAGUUCCCUUCUUCAGUGGUCGUAUACAUGGCAGUAACUGGAGAUAAUCUUGGUAUACAUUGCCUGUUUGGUUUUGUGGAAUCAUUUAGUGCUCGUUAUUGUUGCCGUUUUUGCCUCACUGAGAAAGUGGAUUUUCAAACUGUGUUCUCUGAGGAUAACCCAAGAGUGACUUUAUGAAAAAAACACAUGCACUCAGACCCUUGUCAAACCCAACACUACCUCAUGUGUGCGGUGUGAAGCAUGCUUGCUUAUUGAACUCUCUGCAGUACUUAGUUACUACAGACAAUUAUUCUGUUGAUAUAAUGCAUGACAUUUUAUGAAUUGCACAAUGUUCGGUAACUUGUGUUACAGCAUAUACAAGCCAACUUUGUGACUGCUAAAGAUGUGUACGGUAGAGUUCAUUCAUUUAACUAUGGCUACACAGAGAGGAGGAAUUGUCCACCUGUAGUCAAAUUGGAUGAUGGGAGCAAUGAUUUGGGUCUAAAUGCUAUUCAGUCUUGGUGUCUUCUCUGUAAUUUGCCAUUGAUAUUUGGUGAUGUGGUACAGAAACAUGAAAAAUACUGGCAGCUGCUUCUGUUACUACUAAAAAUGGUAAAUAUUGUGUUUUCUCCUAUACUAACAGAGGGCAUAACUAUCUAUCUGAAGCAAUUAAUUGCUGAACAUCCUAGGCUUUUCAAGUAUUUGUUUCCUGAUAGAAAUCUGUUACCUGUAAUGGUUUUCCGUUGAAGGAGAGGAGGACCAAAGCGCAGCGUGGUUAGUGUUCAACAUGUUUAAUAAAGACAUUAAACAUGAACACUACAAAAAUACCAAAACAAUACAUGUGAAAAACCGAAACAGUCCUAUCUGGUGCAUCGACACAAAGGCAGAAGACAACCACCCCAAAAAAACACAACACAAAACAAGCUACCUAAAUAUGGUUCCCAAUCAGAGACAAUGACUAACACCUGUCUCUCAUUGAGAACCAUAUCAGGCCAAAUAUAGAAAUGGGAAAACUAGACACACAGCAUAGAAUGCCCACUCUGCUCACGUCCUGACCAACACUAAAACAAAGAAAACACAAAAGAACUAUGGUCAGAACGUGACAGUAC